This 132-nucleotide ribosomal RNA is filed under the name uncultured Pleosporomycetidae. RNAcentral describes it as "partial 18S ribosomal RNA". The record is from RNAcentral. Lineage: Eukaryota; Fungi; Ascomycota; Dothideomycetes.
GGAAACCUUGUUACGACUUUUACUUCCUCUAAAUGACCGAGUUUGACGAACUUUCCGGCUUGAGGUGGUCGUUGCCAACCUCCUCGAGCCAGUCCGAACGCCUCACUGAGCCAUUCAAUCGGUAGUAGCGAC